Molecule: ribosomal RNA, 429 nt
Filed under: Chloroflexota bacterium
Lineage: Bacteria; Bacillati; Chloroflexota
Description: Chloroflexi bacterium partial 16S ribosomal RNA
Rfam family: Bacterial small subunit ribosomal RNA
Source: RNAcentral
UGGGGAAUAUUGCACAAUGGGCGCAAGCCUGAUGCAGCCAUGCCGCGUGUGUGAAGAAGGCCUUCGGGUUGUAAAGCACUUUCAGCGGGGAGGAAGGCGUUAAGGUUAAUAACCUUGGCGAUUGACGUUACCCGCAGAAGAAGCACCGGCUAACUCCGUGCCAGCAGCCGCGGUAAUACGGAGGGUGCAAGCGUUAAUCGGAAUUACUUGGCGUAAAGCGCACGCAGGCGGUUUGUUAAGUCAGAUGUGAAAUCCCCGGGCUCAACCUGGGAACUGCAUCUGAUACUGGCAAGCUUGAGUCUCGUAGAGGGGGGUAGAAUUCCAGGUGUAGCGGUGAAAUGCGUAGAGAUCUGGAGGAAUACCGGUGGCGGAGGCGGCCCCCUGGACGAAGACUGACGCUCAGGUGCGAAAGCGUGGGGAGCAAACAGG